CAGACAGCCCACGCCUGAGGCUGGGGUUGUCCACAGGUGAGGUGUCCAGCAUGCAGCGGAGCAAAGCGCAAAGACCGGCCACCCCGGAAGUGUCCCAUGUGCUCAGGCUCUGGCAGGCGCAGAUGCAGCAUGUGCUCCGGGAGAGGGAG
RNAcentral lists this long non-coding RNA (149 nucleotides) under Fukomys damarensis (Damara mole-rat). Its description in RNAcentral is "lncRNA (ENSFDAG00000029812.1)". Lineage: Eukaryota; Metazoa; Chordata; Mammalia; Rodentia; Bathyergidae. The record is from RNAcentral.